This 578-nucleotide ribosomal RNA is filed under the name uncultured marine bacterium. RNAcentral describes it as "bacterial SSU rRNA". It matches the Rfam family "Bacterial small subunit ribosomal RNA", at positions 59 to 633 of the family's 1533-position model. The record is from RNAcentral.
AAGUCGAGCGAGAAAGUAUCUUCGGAUAUGAGUAGAGCGGCGGACGGGUGAGUAACGCGUAGGAAUCUACCUAGUAGAAGGGGAUAGCCCGGGGAAACUCGGAUUAAUACCGUAUACCUCCUCAGGGAGAAAGAGGGCCUCUCUUGAAGCUCUCGCUAUUAGAUGAGCCUGCGUAAGAUUAGCUUGUUGGUAAGGUAAUGGCUUACCAAGGCUACGAUCUUUAGCUGGUCUGAGAGGACGAUCAGCCACAUUGGGACUGAGACACGGCCCAGACUCCUACGGGAGGCAGCAGUGGGGAAUAUUGGACAAUGGGCGCAAGCCUGAUCCAGCCAUACCGCGUGUGUGAAGAAGGCCUUCGGGUUGUAAAGCACUUUAAGCAGGGAGAAAAAGCAAUAAGUUAAUACCUUAUUGCCGUGAUGUUACCUGCAGAAUAAGCACCGGCUAAUUCCGUGCCAGCAGCCGCGGUAAUACGGAAGGUGCAAGCGUUAAUCGGAAUUACUGGGCGUAAAGCGCGCGUAGGUGGUUUGUUAAGUUGGAUGUGAAAGCCCUGGGCUCAACCUAGGAACUGCAUCCAAAAC